GAUGAACGCUGGCGGCGUGCCUAAUACAUGCAAGUCGAGCGAACAGACGAGGAGCUUGCUCCUCUGACGUUAGCGGCGGACGGGUGAGUAACACGUGGAUAACCUACCUAUAAGACUGGGAUAACUUCGGGAAACCGGAGCUAAUACCGGAUAAUAUAUUGAACCGCAUGGUUCAAUAGUGAAAGACGGUUUUGCUGUCACUUAUAGAUGGAUCCGCGCCGCAUUAGCUAGUGGGUAAGGUAACGGCUUACCAAGGCAACGAUGCGUAGCCGACCUGAGAGGGUGAUCGGACACACUGGAACUGAGACACGGUCCAGACUCCUACGGGAGGCAGCAGUAGGGAAUCUUCCGCAAUGGGCGAAAGCUUGACGGAGCAACGCCGCGUGAGUGAUGAAGGUCUUCGGAUCGUAAAACUCUGUUAUUAGGGAAGAACAAAUGUGUAAGUAACUAUGCACGUCUUGACGGUACCUAAUCAGAAAGCCACGGCUAACUACGUG
RNAcentral lists this ribosomal RNA (497 nucleotides) under uncultured bacterium. RNAcentral's name for it is "partial 16S ribosomal RNA". It matches the Rfam family "Bacterial small subunit ribosomal RNA", at positions 28 to 507 of the family's 1533-position model. The record is from RNAcentral.